RNAcentral lists this ribosomal RNA (1514 nucleotides) under Cytobacillus massiliigabonensis. RNAcentral's name for it is "16S ribosomal RNA". It matches the Rfam family "Bacterial small subunit ribosomal RNA". The record is from RNAcentral. Lineage: Bacteria; Bacillati; Bacillota; Bacilli; Caryophanales; Bacillaceae.
AGAGUUUGAUCCUGGCUCAGGACGAACGCUGGCGGCGUGCCUAAUACAUGCAAGUCGAGCGAACUUGCGGGAGCUUGCUCCCAAAAGUUAGCGGCGGACGGGUGAGUAACACGUGGGCAACCUGCCUGUAAGACUGGGAUAACUUCGGGAAACCGGAGCUAAUACCGGAUAAUUCUUUUCCUCACAUGUGGAAAAACUGAAAGAUGGCUUCGGCUAUCACUUACAGAUGGGCCCGCGGCGCAUUAGCUAGUUGGUGAGGUAACGGCUCACCAAGGCGACGAUGCGUAGCCGACCUGAGAGGGUGAUCGGCCACACUGGGACUGAGACACGGCCCAGACUCCUACGGGAGGCAGCAGUAGGGAAUCUUCCGCAAUGGACGAAAGUCUGACGGAGCAACGCCGCGUGAGUGAUGAAGGUUUUCGGAUCGUAAAACUCUGUUGUUAGGGAAGAACAAGUACCGUUCGAAUAGGGCGGUACCUUGACGGUACCUAACCAGAAAGCCACGGCUAACUACGUGCCAGCAGCCGCGGUAAUACGUAGGUGGCAAGCGUUGUCCGGAAUUAUUGGGCGUAAAGCGCGCGCAGGCGGUCUUUUAAGUCUGAUGUGAAAGCCCCCGGCUCAACCGGGGAGGGUCAUUGGAAACUGGGAGACUUGAGUGCAGAAGAGGAGAGUGGAAUUCCACGUGUAGCGGUGAAAUGCGUAGAGAUGUGGAGGAACACCAGUGGCGAAGGCGACUCUCUGGUCUGUAACUGACGCUGAGGCGCGAAAGCGUGGGGAGCGAACAGGAUUAGAUACCCUGGUAGUCCACGCCGUAAACGAUGAGUGCUAAGUGUUAGAGGGUUUCCGCCCUUUAGUGCUGCAGCAAACGCAUUAAGCACUCCGCCUGGGGAGUACGGCCGCAAGGCUGAAACUCAAAGGAAUUGACGGGGGCCCGCACAAGCGGUGGAGCAUGUGGUUUAAUUCGAAGCAACGCGAAGAACCUUACCAGGUCUUGACAUCCUCUGACAAUCCUAGAGAUAGGACUUUCCCCUUCGGGGGACAGAGUGACAGGUGGUGCAUGGUUGUCGUCAGCUCGUGUCGUGAGAUGUUGGGUUAAGUCCCGCAACGAGCGCAACCCUUGAUCUUAGUUGCCAGCAUUCAGUUGGGCACUCUAAGGUGACUGCCGGUGACAAACCGGAGGAAGGUGGGGAUGACGUCAAAUCAUCAUGCCCCUUAUGACCUGGGCUACACACGUGCUACAAUGGAUGGUACAAAGGGCUGCAAGACCGCGAGGUUUAGCCAAUCCCAUAAAACCAUUCUCAGUUCGGAUUGCAGGCUGCAACUCGCCUGCAUGAAGCCGGAAUCGCUAGUAAUCGCGGAUCAGCAUGCCGCGGUGAAUACGUUCCCGGGCCUUGUACACACCGCCCGUCACACCACGAGAGUUUGUAACACCCGAAGUCGGUGGGGUAACCGUAAGGAGCCAGCCGCCUAAGGUGGGACAGAUGAUUGGGGUGAAGUCGUAACAAGGUAGCCGU